CCUACGGGAGGCAGCAGUGAGGAAUAUUGGUCAAUGGACGAGAGUCUGAACCAGCCAAGUAGCGUGAAGGAUGACUGCCCUAUGGGUUGUAAACUUCUUUUAUAAAGGAAUAAAACGAGGCACGUGUGCCUUUUUGCAUGUACUUUAUGAAUAAGGAUAGGCUAACUCCGUGCCAGCAGCCGCGGUAAUACGGAGGAUCCGAGCGUUAUCCGGAUUUAUUGGGUUUAACGGGAGCGUAGAUGGGUUGUUAAGUCAGUUGUGAAAGUUUGCGGCUCAACCGUAAAAUUGCAAUUGAUACUGGUAGUCUUGAGUACAGUUGAGGUAGGCGGAAUUCGUGGUGUAGCGGUGAAAUGCUUAGAUAUCACGAAGAACCCCGAUUGCGAAGGCAGCUUACUAAACUGUGACUGACAUUGAUGCUCGAAAGUGUGGGUAUCAAACAGGAUUAGAUACCCUUGUAGUC
RNAcentral lists this ribosomal RNA (460 nucleotides) under uncultured bacterium. RNAcentral's name for it is "partial 16S ribosomal RNA". It matches the Rfam family "Bacterial small subunit ribosomal RNA", at positions 338 to 795 of the family's 1533-position model. The record is from RNAcentral.